This is a long non-coding RNA of Bos taurus (domestic cattle), 323 nucleotides long. The record is from Ensembl. Lineage: Eukaryota; Metazoa; Chordata; Mammalia; Artiodactyla; Bovidae.
ACUCUCUCUCCUUCCUUCAGUGUCCUUCAGCACCAUAUCCCCCAGCUGCCAGGUGAGGCCAUGCACUUUCCACGGCAUCUCAGGGAGAACCUCGAGGCAGUCAGUAACUACUGUGGCUGCAGAUGCUGGGUUCACUGGUGAUGGUGGGGCCCGUCUGGUCUCCCCACUGGAAAGAUGCUUUAGUUUCAAGGAAGCUGAAUCAACCAGCGCACAUGGUCACUUGAAUCAGGACACUCCAGACACAGAGACGGGAGACAGUGCAGAGCCAAGGACAGAAGGGCCAGGAGAGAGGCUCUCCUCUCGGGAGGAAGUGACAAUAAUAA